GACGAACGCUGGCGGCGUGCCUAAUACAUGCAAGUAGAACGCUGAAGGAGGAGCUUGCUUCUCUGGAUGAGUUGCGAACGGGUGAGUAACGCGUAGGUAACCUGCCUGGUAGCGGGGGAUAACUAUUGGAAACGAUAGCUAAUACCGCAUAAGAGUAGAUGUUGCAUGACAUUUGCUUAAAAGGUGCAAUUGCAUCACUACCAGAUGGACCUGCGUUGUAUUAGCUAGUUGGUGAGGUAACGGCUCACCAAGGCAACGAUACAUAGCCGACCUGAGAGGGUGAUCGGCCACACUGGGACUGAGACACGGCCCAGACUCCUACGGGAGGCAGCAGUAGGGAAUCUUCGGCAAUGGACGGAAGUCUGACCGAGCAACGCCGCGUGAGUGAAGCAGGUUUUCGGAUCGUAAAGCUCUGUUGUAAGAGAAAGA
This 429-nucleotide ribosomal RNA is filed under the name Streptococcus mitis. Its description in RNAcentral is "bacterial SSU rRNA". It matches the Rfam family "Bacterial small subunit ribosomal RNA", at positions 28 to 449 of the family's 1533-position model. The record is from RNAcentral. Lineage: Bacteria; Bacillati; Bacillota; Bacilli; Lactobacillales; Streptococcaceae.